This 119-nucleotide ribosomal RNA is filed under the name Phasianus colchicus (ring-necked pheasant). Lineage: Eukaryota; Metazoa; Chordata; Aves; Galliformes; Phasianidae. The record is from RNAcentral.
GCCCAUGGCCAUCCGACCCUGGUAACGCCCGAUCUUGUCCAAUCUCGGAAGCUAAGCAGGGUCGGGCCUGGUUAGUACUUGGAUGGGAGACCUCCUGGGAAUACCGGGUGCUGUAGGCU